RNAcentral lists this transfer RNA (65 nucleotides) under Nasutitermes nr. perparvus TB-2014. RNAcentral's name for it is "tRNA-Thr". It matches the Rfam family "tRNA". Rfam says of the family: Transfer RNA (tRNA) molecules are approximately 80 nucleotides in length. Their secondary structure includes four short double-helical elements and three loops (D, anti-codon, and T loops). Lineage: Eukaryota; Metazoa; Arthropoda; Insecta; Blattodea; Termitidae. The record is from RNAcentral.
GUUUUAAUAAUUUAAUAAAAAUAUUGGUCUUGUAAGUCAAAAAUAAGGAACAACCUUUUAAAACU